GUCAAACGUCACUCCACACACUCACAUUGCAAUCGAAACCACGCAUGCGUCAAUUGCUAGCCACUGACUGAAAACUCAAGUAACAAAAGUAAAUCUCGGACUGUCGAAAAAAUAAUCUAUUUACUCCAGUUUUAUAACUAAAAACCACCGUAAUUUUUUGUCUAAUUACUCAAAGAAUAACAAAGCAAAAAUGACUAGCAAAUCAAAAGCUUUUACUAAAGAAGAAGAACUUUUGCUCCAAGAUUUUUCUCGCAAUGUAUCUACCAAAUCAUCAGCGUUAUUCUAUGGCAAUGCUUUUAUAGUAUCGGCAAUUCCUAUAUGGCUGUUUUGGAGAAUUCAUCUGAUUGAUUUAUACUCAAAUGCCAUUUCAUUUGUAUUAGUUACAUUAAUUAGCACAUAUUUAAUGUCAUUGGCUUACAAAAAUACUAAAUUUAUCUUGAAGCACAAGAUUGCAGUAAAAAGAGAAGAUGCAGUAACCCGUGACAUGACCAAAACCCUCGCAGAAGACAAGAAAAUGAGCAAGAAAGAAAAAGACGAAAGAAUACUGUGGAAGAAAAAUGAAGUUGCCGAUUACGAAGCUACCACUUUUUCAUUAUUCUACAACAACGCUCUUUUCUUGGCGGUUGUCAUCUUCACGUCUUUCUACAUCUUGAAGACAUUUACACCUGCAUUCAACUACAUCUUGUCUGUCGGUGGAACAAGUGCGCUGCUAGCUCUCCUGUCUACUGGAUCUCAGUAAAGAAAUAUAUUUAAAUUUAUUUAAACACCGAAUUACGAAUGUAAAUAAUGUCGCAGUUGGAUUAGGUUCAUAAUUGUCACUUUUGUUAAUUUUUGUUGAUAAAUCUUGAAGAUGAUUUAUUAUUUGGAUAAAUAAUGUAAGUAAUAUGAAUUAUGUUUUAUGUUACUAUUAUUAUAAUAUAUAAUGCUGUUGUAUUGCCAACGAUUUCGUCAAUCAACAAAAAAUACCGAGAAUAAUUGUAUACAAUUUAUACAUGUGUUAGGUGUUUUUAGACAAGUUGAAAGCCCACAAACUAAGUAGCAGUAACAGUCGGCGAAGAAACAGAAGCAGCAUAAGAGGAAGAGGAAGAAGAAGAAGAAGAAGAAGAAGAAGAA
Molecule: RNA transcript, 1113 nt
Organism: Cotesia glomerata
Lineage: Eukaryota; Metazoa; Arthropoda; Insecta; Hymenoptera; Braconidae
Gene name: translocon-associated protein subunit gamma
Exons: 5
Source: RefSeq, a predicted model, not a curated record